This is a long non-coding RNA of Esox lucius (northern pike), 1615 nucleotides long. RefSeq lists it as uncharacterized. The record is from RefSeq and is a predicted model, not a curated record. Lineage: Eukaryota; Metazoa; Chordata; Actinopteri; Esociformes; Esocidae. The transcript has 4 exons.
UAUCUGGAACCUCUGCCUGAGGAUAAACAAAAAAAGCAGAAAAUUGCAAAUGACCUGUUGGAUCUUAGAAAUAAGGUGACUUUCGUCUUUUUCAUCUGCAAUGCUUUGUGGCUGGUAGCGACUUUCACUCUUCAGCUCAUUGGAAGCUCAGUCACCAUCAAAAUCCCAAAGUUAAAUAUAAAUCUGACUCAGACAAGCGAGUAUAUAUUCAUCGAUCCAAUAGGAUUGAUGUUCCUUUUGGGAUUCACAUCCUUACUGCUGAUCCAAUUCUUGGGCAUGUUCUACCACAGAGUUUACACUCUGAUCCACUUUGUGGCAUUUUCGAGCAUGGAAUCCAAGACCAGUGGCAGACCAUCGGACGAUAAUAUGACGAUUCCUGACAUGCUGCAGACUGAGGACAAGGAAUAUGCAGGCUCUGAAGGAUCUCUGACUAUAGAGAAUCCUGCAGUAAUUCACAUCUUAAGACGAGGAACUCUGUCUACAGAGAACCCAGAAAUACUUCAGGACUUUGAACAAUCAACUGUGUCUACAGAGAGUCAGGGGUUGAGACCAGGAACUCUAGUGUGAGGGUCAAGUGGCACAAAAGGACUGGUGUAUAUUUCUAUAGUUUAAAAUAUUUUUUCUCAUAGUCAUUACUUUGGACACUUUCUGCUGUCAUAACAUGUAAUCCCAAAAUGAACUAGUGUUAUAUAUUUUUAUUUAUGUAUUUUUAAAUAUUGUGGAAGCACGAUCAUCUUUUGGUUAACUUAGUCAGGGAUGUAAAAAACAUGGAUGGAGCAAAUAUCAGGUAUAAAGUCAGAGAAAAAUUAUCUCAACCCUCUAAACUCAAAAAGUCAUUUGUGUGUUAUUUCAACUGGACAACUAGUGUUUUUUUUGCCAUAAAUGCUUUGCAAGAGAUGUUGACCAUUCCUGAAUGGUUCAGGCUCUAAUGAUUUAAGGAAGGGUUUGAAUAAUGUUGUCCAUAAAAUACACACCACCAAAUGUAUUGACCUUGAACUCUUGACAAAAACACUGGAUAAAAGUUAGGCCUAUGAGAUGAAAUAGUCACAGCUGAUAACCACGCUUCCAACAGGUAUUGCCUGCGGGGUGUGAAAACACACACAUACAAUAAUUAAUCUAAAGUAAACUCAUUUCCAAGAAAUACAUAUUUGUUUAAUUUCGAAAAUGUGGAGUUAGAUGUAGGUGUGUGAUCAUUACAUUUGCAGGGAGAAAAAAUCAUGAAGACCCAGGGGAUGUGAAACCUUUGACUAGCCACAGUAUGGUUUGUUUUCUCUUUAUUUAUUAGUUUAAAUCAUAAGAUUUGCUUGAUGUAUUAUAACAGAGUAUUUAUUAUAUUUAUGCAUUCCGUAACCAGGAAAGAUCUUCUGUAAGGGCAGUGUCCACCUGACACAAACCUUAAGAAAAUAUUACAGCGUUCAAAUGUAAAGUAAAGCCAAUAAUUGUUGACUCUCAGGGUUUGUGAUAAUGUUAUAAAAUUUUUCUAUUUUAUAUUUGAUUAACUGUGGUAGCUUCUAAUUUUAAUUUCAACAUGUUUUCCCUUCUGUAAUCUCUGAUAGUAUGUAUUCUCAGAGGCUAGCCAUAGGUGGGCUACAGCCCAGACGUAUUGAAUACUAAC